GGUGAACGCUAGCGGCGGGCCUAACACAUGCAAGUCGUGCGGUCCUGGGGCAACCCAGGAUAGCGGCGGACGGGUGCGUAACACGUAGGUAACCUGCCCUCUGGCGGGGGAUAACUCCGGGAAACUGGAGCUAAUACCCCAUAAAGCAAGGGCACCGCAUGGUGGGCUUGCUAAAGCCGAGAGGCGCCAGAGGAGGGGCCUGCGGCCGAUUAGCUAGUUGGUAGGGUAACGGCCUACCAAGGCGAUGAUCGGUAGCUGGUCUGAGAGGACGGCCAGC
RNAcentral lists this ribosomal RNA (277 nucleotides) under uncultured bacterium. RNAcentral's name for it is "partial 16S ribosomal RNA". It matches the Rfam family "Bacterial small subunit ribosomal RNA", at positions 28 to 308 of the family's 1533-position model. The record is from RNAcentral.